Coturnix japonica (Japanese quail) is the source of this 4234-nucleotide non-coding RNA. The record is from RefSeq and is a predicted model, not a curated record. Lineage: Eukaryota; Metazoa; Chordata; Aves; Galliformes; Phasianidae.
UUUUUGCAGUCAUUUCAAGGCUCAGGAAUUACCCUAAUUAAGAUUGGGAAUGCCAUGAUUUCAAAGAAAGCAACAGGAACAAGCAGAGCUGAGGGAAAAGGUUUUGGCCCUUCCAGCUCCCAUUCACCUGCACAAAGGACCUCCAGCACUUCCAAAGUGAGCCUGCAGGGGAGAUGAAGCAGGCCCCUCCUUCCAGCAGAUGAGAGGAAGAAGCAGAGGUAUCAGUGCUUCAAGAUGUGACAUCCUCACUGCUCACCAAGAAAAUACAUACUGAACACAGUUUCUUAAAUUUGAGACAAUGCCACUUCAACAAGAUGUUUACUCAGAAACAAUCAAUAGGUGCCUUGACACUGGCUCACCAGCCAUGGAUACUCCUAGCAAAACCUGAUUCUGAAGAGACAAGCAUCUGGGCAGAAUAACUGGAAGUCAGACACCAGUCUUGCAGUGUGGCAUGGAACAUGGACUUGACCUAUGCCUCACUUCAGGCAAAGUUCGUGUCUUGCAGCUUCAAGGCUGUUCUCAUGGCUUUGCCAGAGAGAGAAUUUGACUUUUGAUAUGCACUUGCUGGAGAUGAAAGUACACCGCUGCGUAUUUUUUAUCUCAGGAUCAAAUGAUGAGCAAUCACAUCUGGAGCAGAAUGCAGAAUAUAUGAAUAGAAGCCCAAGUUCUGUCACAGAUGCACAACAGAUUUUUGCAUGAUAACUCCGGAUGUAGAUAUAUUCUGGCUAACUUUCAAGCUAACCACGUGGGAUACCUAUAGCUGGAGGUCCUUGGGUAGAAUUCCCAGCCCCCAGUCUUCUGUACUUUUAAAUCUGUCCUGCUCACGGUAUCAAGCCUUGUCAGCUCCAAAACCAGGCAGAAUGUGCCUGCACUGACCAACACAAUCAUCAAUGUCUGCCUUGCAGAACAACAGCUACUCAGGCUCUGAAUCAUUGUACUCUGUCAGGGCAUGGGGAAGGACUGGGAAGCCAGAAUCACAGCAUCUGCAAUUUCAUAUUCCUGCACUGGAGGUAAGCCCUGGGAGCGAGAGGCCUCAAAGUGCCAGAGGGCAACCAUGGCUCUGGGCAUCACCUAUGCAACUGAGGACUUGAAAUCCCUGACUUUAACCUGAAUACAGAUCCUUCCACCUUAAGCCCUUUCCUAAUGAAAUCAAUAUUCUGGUCAGCUCUACUGCUAAGAAAAACAGCUGUAGCAGGCAGGGGAACAUAUUUUGUUUUCCCAGGUCCCUGUGCUGAUGCUUCUCAAAUGAAAUUUUCUCUGACGCUCAGGCAUAAAAUCUUGAAAUUAAAAUGAAAUGCAAUUGCUAAUGAAUGGAAAAUAUUACUUGCUGGCCAGCUCUAUUUGUACGUACAAAAUAUCCUAGACACCUCCAAGUUUCUUUCAUGCCAUCUCAGAUUAUUUUCCUUUAUUGUUUUACCAAGAUCUCCAAAGCUGGCUGCAUAGGGGUUUUCACUGCCCAAAUUCCCACUCGUUAUUCUAUUUGACACUUGGAUCCCUUGAGCAGCAUUGAAAAAUUACUAAGCCUUAAUAUCCGUGCAAGAAUUCCAAACAAUAGCUACAAAGAAGGAACUGGUCCUGGCACUAAAAAACCAUGAAUAUGUAAGACAAAUCGUAUCUGGAGAGAUAACGGGCUACCAGAAUCGUCUUUCAAAAGAUAUACAGUGUAAGCUGCAUUCUCCUCAAUAGCUCAAGGGGCUUAUAGUCAAUAAAUUUAACAGGCUGCAACCUAAAAAAAAGGCAAAGCUAAAGUACAGCAUGCAAAUACAAGCUAGAGUGGACUCUUCUACCUUAGGACAGAGUUAAUAUAGGGGAAAUGACAAAAUACAUAAAAAGGAAUACACAGGAUUUGACAGAGUGUGGUUGUUUUUUCUUUUAACUUCAAGGCAAACUACCAGACUAUUUUAGUUUACAAAUAAAUCAAACAAAGAACUUUUAUCAGUUUGCAUAGAAGUCUCAUUUUCAGCACUGGAAAGGUUAAGCUUCAGAGCCUUUCUCUGUAUGUGUAUGUGACAGAUUACAAAGGAAGUAGUGUAAAUAAUGACCUUGCUGAAAACAGAUUAGCCUCAAUGAUUAUAUAGUAAUUAUAUAGUAAUGUUUUCUUCACUUACAGAUUAAAAUAUCAAUUGACAGUUUCCAUAAACAAGUGAAGCUCAUGGUAAUUCAGUGUAAUAGGAUAAUGACAGUAGCAGUAUCUGACAGCCCCAUUUCUGCCUCUUGACGUUAUUUAUGGUAUUCUGAUGCUCAGUCUAGGGAGCUGGAUCCUCAGCUUUGCCAGAUGUGUUUGCCGUGGCUCAGUGUUUAUGUGACAAAAACGUUUCCUUUAGGAAUUUCCUUUAUUUUACAGUUACGUGGUCACACUAAGUACAAAUGUGUUGGACCCAUCAUGUUCUUAUGGUUGUAUUCUUUUAAAGUCAACUUUUCAAGACCUGCCCCUACUACUCUCAGUAACUAAGUGCACAUGCUGCCUGAUUUCUCACUAGUUGACCCCUCGUACUGACCUUUACACUAAGUUUAAGAUGUUGGUCAAAACUUCAGCAGAUGGACUAUUCCCACCAAGGCUCUGUUCUUGUGUUUUUUUCUUUCCUCUUUCACUUUGCUGUUUCUAAAAGGCACUUGUGAGGAUGGAAACAGCGUACAUGGGAUGGGUACGGUGUUGGAUAUGGCAGGCCAGGUUUCUCCUCUGACUCAAUGAGGACUCUUAGGACAGAAAAAAUCCUGCUUAGAUAGAGGCAGAGCAGAAGGAGGCUCUUGUAGUUAAAGUUUGUAUCUUAAUACAGAAAGCAACAGGCAAAUAUUCCUUAUCUUUGUGAGCAGGUCAGUGCUUAUGAGCACAUUCUGGUUUGCUUGCCAUUUCCAAAGCUGGAAAUAAAUCAACCAGAAAUUGUAAGUAAGUUAUCUGUCGCUGUGCCCAUAAAAUUGUCAUCCCUCAAAGAAUUCUGCCUAACCUGGUGAUAUCAUUUCAAAGUCUGCACAUGCACUGGUAGCUGUACAUAGUGCAGGACAGGGAAGGAAGCAGCUCAGUUUGCUUACUGGCAGAGAGCAACCUCCAUUGUAAAGUAAGGGGAUGAAAAAGUGGAGUCAAUUUGGUUCACAAGAGAAAUGUAAGGAACAGCACAGCACAAACUCAUCAAAGGAGUCUUGGCUUGUGGUACCUGGGUUCUUCAUACAAAUCUAAGUGCAGUUUUGUCUAGCGUAUGUCCUGGCAGAGAAACCAGGGCUUUAAAGCAGCCUAUAAGAACUAUGUUGCUCUAGCAAAAUUGGUUAAUGUUUCAUUAUGUUCACUGGUGAAAGACUUAAAAGGCUGAAAUUUUGACUUCCUAAAUUGUCAAUCAUCUUUAAGAUGCAGUAAAUUAAGAUUUUUCUCCAACAAUAUCUUUUAUUAAAUGUAUUAAGCUGUCAGACAUAGAGCCUGGGUUUCUGCUUUACCUUCACGCCAAUGGAAAGGAAGAUAAGCAGACAGGACGCUGUGCUAUAUAUUUGAGAUUCUGGAUUAUUAUUUUUUCAUUCUAUCACAAAACUCAUUUUAGGCAGAUCCAUGAGAAGUGUUCACCAGAAAUGGUCAGCACAUCAUCAAAAAGGCCGUUAACCCUAACCAUGGAUAUCUGUACUCAUGGUAAACCAUUUCUUAACCUGUGUCAGUACAACAGUUUGUGAGUGCUGUGUAAUGGGGCCGUAGGCAAACACUGUGUAAAGCAGUCACAUCCAGCAACGAUAGCAGUCUGUCUUCAGAAGCACAGAGCACAGUUCAAGCUACAAAAUCCAUUCAGAAUGUCGAAAAAAUCAAGGAGAUUAACUUAUGCUGCACUCAGUGCUGUUCUAGUUGGUUUAAAACCUUACCCAUAUUUACACUGAAGGGUCAAAAUGGUAGAAACAAACAAAACAAAUGAGCCUCAGCACUUGUUGAACAUGCAAGUAAUUGGAAAAAAGAAAAAAAAAGGCUUAAAAAACAGGCUGCCAACCCUCGAUCAAUGAAGGUGUCUGAACAUUGCACAGGAUAUGACAAAGGAGCUCUCAGUCUAGAAGGGCAAUAGUUAAGAAGCCACCCAGGGAAAGCAACAGACUAAUCUCAGAGUCCAAUGAAAGCCGUAAUCUUCUAACAGACAAAAUCAACCCCUUCCAUGUUUUCUCUGUAGUUAAGCUGAGGAAACUAUCUCAUGGUAAAGAGUGAAAAAUACACAUCCAGUGUGAUAAAUUUGCAUCUACAUACAUCUAGCAAUUAACUUAUAAUUACCUU